This 433-nucleotide ribosomal RNA is filed under the name uncultured bacterium. RNAcentral describes it as "partial 16S ribosomal RNA". It matches the Rfam family "Bacterial small subunit ribosomal RNA", at positions 29 to 507 of the family's 1533-position model. The record is from RNAcentral.
AACGAACGCUGGCGGCAUGCCUAACACAUGCAAGUCGAACGAGACCUUCGGGUCUAGUGGCGCACGGGUGCGUAACGCGUGGGAACCUGCCCUUAGGUUCGGAAUAACUCCCCGAAAGGGGUGCUAAUACCGGAUAAUGUCUUCGGACCAAAGAUUUAUCGCCUUUGGAUGGGCCCGCGUUGGAUUAGCUAGUUGGUAGGGUAAAAGCCUACCAAGGCGACGAUCCAUAGCUGGUCUGAGAGGAGGAUCAGCCACACUGGGACUGAGACACGGCCCAGACUCCGACGGGAGGCAGCAGUGGGGAAUAUUGGACAAGGGGCGAAAGCCUGAUCCAGCAAUGCCGCGUGAGUGAUGAAGGCCUUAGGGUUGUAAAGCUCUUUUACCCGGGAUGAUAAUGACAGUACCGGGAGAAGAAGCUCCGGCCAACUACGUG